This is a long non-coding RNA of Cyprinus carpio (common carp), 2032 nucleotides long. NCBI's taxonomy places the organism in Eukaryota, Metazoa, Chordata, Actinopteri, Cypriniformes, Cyprinidae. The record is from Ensembl.
GCUUCUGUGUACCUUCAAUGCAGCAGAAUUUUAUAUGGAGUGUAGAUUGAUGUGGGAUGAAAAAAUUAAUUUAAAGCAGUUUAACGUAAGGCAGCAACAUAACAAAAUGUGAAAAAAUGAAGGGGUAUGAAUUAUUUCGCAAGGCACUGUACAUUUUCUGAAUUGGCAUUGAGGUCCAGAUGGUGUAAGAAACAUAGAUGGUUGAAAUACAAAAUAAACAUUUUAUUUGAGAGUAUGGACACUAAACUGCUCUAUAAUGCUUUUCUUGAGUAAAGUAGUUCUAUGAUAUACACAUUUAUAUUUAAAUAGAACCCUCAAAUCUUUUUUAUCAUAAACAGGAGAUGAGACGCCAAUAUUUAGAGGCACAGGAAAAGAGUCGACUACAGGCAAUUGAAGACAGACGGAAGAGGAUUGCAAGUCACGAGGAGCCCAUUGAUGGUGUGCCCAUCAAAUUCAAGUUUCCUCAUGGAUCCGAAAAAAUUCGAAAAUUCAUUUUGUCAGAGUCAAUUCAGAUCUUAUUUUACUUUGUUGGUCAGGAUGACCUGUCCAGUGAAGUGUUUUAUGUUCAAGAUGCGACAUCAUCUGCACCUCUUGAAAAUAACCUUACAGGAACACUGAAUGAUUACAACAUCAAGGGUCAUUCAACUCUUUAUGUUGUUUGGAUUUCACCACUAGAUUCCCAUGAAAGUCAAGGUAAACAGAACGAAGCAAGCAUUCAAGUGAAUUCUGGUAAAGUCCAUUUCACCUCAUCCUUUUCCAACCAGCUUGCAUCACCACAUGAACCGACUACUUCUUUGCCACUGAAUGAUUGUCAUUCCCCAUCACCCCCAAACUGGUCACCUGCUCCUUCACCUUCUCACACAUAUCACUGGUCACCUGAACGCUCUCUUCCCACUCAGCCAUCCUCUGUAACAACUGACAAUUGUGAAAAUAUUUUGGAUCAAGUUGAUCUGCAGAUGAUUUUGAAGAAGCUUCAUAGCAGAGUUGAUCUCUCAUGUUGUCCUACAAGCAAUCAAAUAAAUGUAUGUCGAGACAGCAUAUUACAAGGUAGCCUGCAAGCUUUCAAACGAAGGCACUUUAAUCCAGAAGCAAGGCUGGAUGUGAUUUUUGUGGACUUGAUGGGGUUGGAGAAGGAGCUGUAGAUGAAGGUGGACCAACCAGGGAAUUCCUACGCUUGCUAAUGAGGGAAAUCCAGAGGUCCAAAAUAUUUGAAGGACCGGAAGACAAAAGACUACUGGCUCUUGAUACUCAUGCUCUUGAGAAUGGCUUGUAUAUGACUAUUGCAAAAAUGAUUGCAGUGUGCAUAGUUCAUGGUGGAGUUGGCCCUCAUUUUUUUUCUGAUCAUCUUUUUAUGCAACUCUGUGGGUCAGUGUACACUUCCUGUUUCCCUUGAGGAAAUAGCAGACAAGCUUCAGAGAAAAACUCUCAAAGGUUAUUGUAACUUUAGACUUGUCUCAUCUACACAGGGAUUUUUUAUUGUAUCAUUUGUAAUGGGUGCUUUGUGAUUUCAUGGCAUAACAAUUUUCUAAUUAUUUACUUGUAGAUUAAAGAAGCAGACUCUGUUGAACACGCAAAUUCUGCAAUCUCAGAUGCUGGAGACAGUCUGUACAUGAUGGGAGCACUUAGGUACAUCUCAUCUCUUGAAGAGAGGGAUUCCCUGGUCCAAUCUGCAGCAGAAUACUUUGUGAAUGGGCGGACAAAUUUGGCUCUCAGACAAUUUGAAGAGGGUUUCAAAACACUUGGUCUGAUUCAAGAGCUCAAGAACCAUCCUGACAUUUUUGAGGACUUGUUCAUCAAUGCAGUCAGACCACUUGAGGCAAAAGAUCUGUCCACUCUUUUUAAGGUGGACUUUUCACCCCUUGGUAGCAACAAAAGGGAGCUGGAAAAUAAGACAGUCUGUUUCUGGAGAGACUGGUUAAUUGAUGUAGAAGAAGGUGACUGCAAUCGGUUGACACUGUCAAUGGUAAUGGAGUUUGCUUCAGGAGCCUCAUCUGUGCCUCCACUAGGAUUCACCCAUCAGCCAAAAAUCUAA